AUUGAACGCUGGCGGCAUGCCUUACACAUGCAAGUCGAACGGUAACGCGGGGCAACCUGGCGACGAGUGGCGAACGGGUGAGUAAUGCAUCGGAACGUGCCCAGUAGUGGGGGAUAGCCCGGCGAGAGCCGGAUUAAUACCGCAUACGACCUUCGGGUGAAAGGGGGGGAUCGAAAGACCUCUCGCUAUUGGAGCGGCCGAUGUCAGAAUUAGGUAGUUGGUGGGGUAAAAGCCUACCAAGCCAACGAUCUGUAGCUGGUCUGAGAGGACGACCAGCCACACUGGGCCUGGGACACGGCCCAGACUCCUACGGGAGGCAGCAGUGGGGAAUUUUGGACAAUGGGCGCAAGCCUGAUCCAGCCAUGCCGCGUGCGGGAAGAAGGCCUUCGGGUUGUAAACCGCUUUUGUCAGGGAAGAAACGCUUCGAGCUAAUACCUUGGAGUAAUGACGGUACCUGAAGAAUAAGCACCGGCUAACUACGUGCCAGCAGCCGCCGUAA
Molecule: ribosomal RNA, 499 nt
Filed under: uncultured bacterium
Lineage: Bacteria
Description: partial 16S ribosomal RNA
Rfam family: Bacterial small subunit ribosomal RNA
Source: RNAcentral